AUGCAAUGGUAUAUUAAUAGAUGAAAUGAAUUCUUUUUGUUGUGCUUUGGUAUGAAAAUAAAAUGCAAUGCAGGUAUUUAAGAUUUGGGAUAACACGAGUAACUCAUAACAACUUACUAGGUAGACUCCUUAACAGAUAGUUCUAGGCUUUCUACCCAUAAACCCACUCACGAGAUAGUUUCUACAUUUUUGUAUAAGGUUCCCAG
Molecule: long non-coding RNA, 206 nt
Filed under: Lathyrus oleraceus (garden pea)
Lineage: Eukaryota; Viridiplantae; Streptophyta; Magnoliopsida; Fabales; Fabaceae
Description: Pisum sativum (pea) long non-coding RNA (PSAT_LNC028302)
Source: RNAcentral